Molecule: long non-coding RNA, 2188 nt
Organism: Nyctereutes procyonoides (raccoon dog)
Lineage: Eukaryota; Metazoa; Chordata; Mammalia; Carnivora; Canidae
Exons: 3
Source: RefSeq, a predicted model, not a curated record
UCCUGUUUGAGCCCCAGGCCGUGUCUCAUAUUCUAAUCCUCUUCCUAAUUUCAUUGCUGUUAGCAGCAGAGUAGUAGCGACCAUUUCCGGUGUGCGAAGCAGGAGCACCCGUCUAAGACCUGGGCACCUGCAGUCCUGACGCAUAUACAAGAUCGAAGGAACCGACAGGAAGUUCAACAGCCCACUGACGCCCUGCGCCCUGCGUUCAGACUCCUGCAAAGCAAUUAACUGGCCCGGAGCACAAAGGCCAGACACUGGCAGCUGCGGGACAGGCCUGGCCAGAGGCUUGACGGCGAAGGCUUGUCAAGCUCAAUCAACGGGGAGAAGCCAGGGGCUGACAAUGACACAGAGUCCCCAAGUUGCCCAUUGUUCUCUGGCCAAUGCCAAUCUGCCUCCUGGUGCCUCCAGGAAUCUGGAGGAAAAACAAAACAUUCUUUUUCAAACCUGGUGUUUUCAAGUCUUCAGUCAUUCGUCACCACCCAGCGUAGAAGAGCACCCCAGGCUUGGGUGUGGCUCAGCGGGCACCGGGCAGAGGCUGCUCCUUCUUUAUCUGCUUCCUCCCAGAUCCACUAGCUAAUGCGAGACCUUUGGGCCUUCCUCACAAACAGGCCCUGAAUCACCUCAGAAGCCCGGGAAAGGUACCGUCAUUCUUCCUGUCCUAGCCAUCCAGUUCCUGGGCCGGGCGGAGGCAUGGACGCCAACCGCUGGAUCACGGCCACCCUCAGACAAAAGGCACAGGCUCCAGAGCCACCUGCCCCACACCGCCCUCCCGGGGAAUCCCCCCACCCCGGCCCUCGUGGAGAGAGUAUAAGGUCCCGCAACCCCGUGGUCAGUGGGGAACCCUGGCCCCAAAGGGCUUUCUAGAGGGGCCUUUAAUUGCAGCAUGGCAUGAAGAGGUAAGUGAAGUCAACCAGAUGACUCCCUUAGGAUUUGGAACCGCCAAACAGAGGCACAACAGUCGAAAGUGGGCCCUGGGCUGGGAGGUAGUUGACGCCUGGUUGACUAGGCGUCGAGGGUGGAGAGGAAGCGGGUGGAGAGGGUGCACACGUGUGUGCAAGAGAGCGAAGCUGUGUCUAGAACGAUGCUGUCCAACUUGGCAGCCAUAUGGGGCUUUUCUAUUCUAUUCACAUAAUAAUUUUGAUUGAUUCUUUGGAUUUGUUUAGGUUGUUUUAUAUAAAUAGCAUCAGUAAUUUAAAAUUUACUCCCUCAGCGGCCCUGCAGAGAUCUAGACCAUUCCCAUGGUCAUAGCUAAUUCUAUCGGCCGACACUGGUCUGAGAGACCCACUGGGAUAGAGUACGAAGUCUUAGUUCCCCAUUUGCAAUCCCUGAUUCCAACCCACAAGCCUCAACUCUGCCUCCUGCCCCAUGUUUCACAAGAACAGGAAGUGGGAGAAGUGACGGCCGUGGGCACAGGCUGCCCCUGCUGAGGAAUAGCCCGUCAGGAGCGAACUGUGCGUCCUGCGCACCGGGGGACCUGCCAGCAAGAGUCCCCGAUGCUGGAUCUCUGGUCGGAGAACUAAGUCGUGUGCGAUGGUCGCUGGCAGCCGACUCAGGGUGGAGGGGGCACGGGGGAGUCAGCACAUACUUCUCUGCUGAACUCCAUUUCCCAUUUGGUUUGGCAGCUUGUUUUUCGUGAAAUGAGGCCAAUCCAAGAAUUCCAUGUCAACAUCGCUCCUUUUACUGGAACCACAAGCGUAGCCCCCUGGGACCUGCUGUAUCUCUGGGCGGACAUCAAAAACAACUCCUUCUUGCUUUGAAAUUAUAACAGUCCUCUGAGAGCUACCCACUUCCUUACCUUUUUUUUUUUCCUCUCUGAGGAAGAAAGUGAGGGCCAGGGUUUGCGGGCUGCAGCACCCCAGGAUUUGCUGUUGGCAUAGAGAGCCUCCGGGCUGGCCGGGCCGAGGGGUUCUCCUGGACCCUGCGGCGGUUUCUCCUUUCUUGUGCGUCCAAGGCCUCCUGGUUCCUUCCUGCCUGCUUGUCUCCCUUCCAGGACCAGCUUGACGCAUAGGCAGGGCCUUCCCCACCCCCAGUCACCCUCACCAGAGCUGCCCUCGUGCCGUGCCGUGACCUCAGGGGGCUUGCGAAAGAGGCUGGCGGAUCUGAAGUCCUCUCCCAGCCAGUAACUAGAGCCUGACUUGCAUCCAUGAAAGCUUUGGUAGCUCUCCGGGCCUCUUCCCUUGGGGAGAGC